RNAcentral lists this ribosomal RNA (563 nucleotides) under Pantoea sp. p91_E01. RNAcentral describes it as "bacterial SSU rRNA". It matches the Rfam family "Bacterial small subunit ribosomal RNA", at positions 558 to 1120 of the family's 1533-position model. The record is from RNAcentral. Lineage: Bacteria; Pseudomonadati; Pseudomonadota; Gammaproteobacteria; Enterobacterales; Erwiniaceae.
GCGUAAGCGCGCGCAGGCGGUCUGUUAAGUCUGAUGUGAAAUCCCCGGGCUUAACCUGGGAACUGCAUUUGAAACUGGCAGGCUUGAGUCUCGAAGAGGGGGGUGGAAUUCCAUGUGUAGCGGUGAAAUGCGUAGAGAUCUGGAGGAAUACCGGUGGCGAAGGCGGCCCCCUGGACUAAGACUGACGCUCAGGUGCGAAAGCGUGGGGAGCAAACAGGAUUAGAUACCCUGGUAGUCCACGCCGUAAACGAUGUCUACUUGGAGGUUGUGCCCUUGAGGCCUGUCUUCCGGAGCUAACGCGUUAAGUCCACCGCCUGGGGAGUACGGCCGCAAGGUUAGAACUCCAAUGAAUUGACGGGGGGCCGCCCCAGCGGUGGAACCUGUGGGUUAAUUCCAUGCCACGCGAAAAACCUUACCUGGCCUUGACAUCCAGAGGACUUACCUAGAGAUGCUUUGGUGCCUUCGGGAACUCUGAGACAGGUGCUGCAUGGCUGUCGUCAGCUCGUGUUGUGAGAUGUUGGGUUAAGUCCCCGCACGAGCGCAACCCUUAUCCUUUGUUGCCA